AUUGAACGCUGGCGGCAGGCCUAACACAUGCAAGUCGAGCGGAGCGGCGGACGGGUGAGUAAUGCCUAGGAAUCUGCCUGGGAGUGGGGGAUAACGUCCGGAAACGGGCGCUAAUACCGCAUACUAUCAGAUGAGCCUAGGUCGGCUUAGCUAGUUGGUGGGGUAAAGGCCUACAAAGGCUACGAUCGGUAACUGGUCUGAGAGGAUGAUCAGUCACUCUGGAACUGAUACACGGUGCAGACUCGUACGGGAGGCAGCAGUGGGGAAUUUUGGACACUGGGCGAGAGCCUGUGCCAGCCGUGUCGCGUGUGUGAAGAAGGUCGUCGGAUUGUAAAGCACGUUAAGUUGGGAGGCGUUACCAACAGAAUAAGCACCGGCUAACUUCGUGCCAGCAGCCGCGGUAAUAC
This 407-nucleotide ribosomal RNA is filed under the name uncultured bacterium. RNAcentral's name for it is "partial 16S ribosomal RNA". It matches the Rfam family "Bacterial small subunit ribosomal RNA", at positions 30 to 526 of the family's 1533-position model. The record is from RNAcentral.